UGCAAAUGAUGAUGAAAUCGACGCUUGUUUCUCGAAACACUGUAGUUGCCGUGUAAGAUCUUACGCCCUGCCUGGCCUGAGAGCUAAUGCAAGUAGAUCCUUCCUUGGAUGUCUGAUGCA
This is a small nucleolar RNA of Lolium perenne, 120 nucleotides long. RefSeq annotates it as small nucleolar RNA SNORD14. NCBI's taxonomy places the organism in Eukaryota, Viridiplantae, Streptophyta, Magnoliopsida, Poales, Poaceae. The record is from RefSeq and is a predicted model, not a curated record.